CCAGCAUUUAAGGUGGGGACUCAGAUGAGACUGCCGGUGACAAACCGGAGGAAGGUGGGGAACGACGGUCAAGUCAUCAUGGCCCUUAUGUCCUGGGCUACACACGUGCUACAAUGGCCGGUACAGAGUAGAAGCGAAACCGCGAGGUGAAGCAAAACGCAGAAAGCCGGUCUCAGUACGGAUUGGAGUCUGAAACUCGACUUCAUGAAGUUGGAAUCGCUAGUAAUCGCGCAUCAGCAUGGCGCGGUGAAUACGUUCCCGGGCCUU
Molecule: ribosomal RNA, 267 nt
Filed under: uncultured Spirochaeta sp.
Lineage: Bacteria; Pseudomonadati; Spirochaetota; Spirochaetia; Spirochaetales; Spirochaetaceae
Description: partial 16S ribosomal RNA
Rfam family: Bacterial small subunit ribosomal RNA
Source: RNAcentral